UACGGGGGGAGCAAGCGUUGUUCGGAUUUACUGGGCGUAAAGGGCUCGUAGGCGGCCAACUAAGUCAGACGUGAAAUCCCUCGGCUUAACCGGGGAACUGCGUCCGAUACUGGUUGGCUUGAAUCCGGGAGAGGGAUGCGGAAUUCCAGGUGUAGCGGUGAAAUGCGUAGAUAUCUGGAGGAACACCGGUGGCGAAGGCGGCAUCCUGGACCGGCAUUGACGCUGAGGCGCGAAAGCCAGGGGAGCAAACGGG
This 253-nucleotide ribosomal RNA is filed under the name uncultured bacterium. Its description in RNAcentral is "partial 16S ribosomal RNA". It matches the Rfam family "Bacterial small subunit ribosomal RNA", at positions 524 to 776 of the family's 1533-position model. The record is from RNAcentral.